Molecule: long non-coding RNA, 3277 nt
Filed under: Nicotiana benthamiana
Lineage: Eukaryota; Viridiplantae; Streptophyta; Magnoliopsida; Solanales; Solanaceae
Description: long non-coding RNA (NBEN_LNC031097)
Source: RNAcentral
UUAAUCACAGAUGACCCUUUACCCCACCCCAUUUCACAAAAUUUGCCACCUCUGAAUCCCCUUCUCUCUUAAGUCUGUCUCAAAAUCUAGCCACCGCCAUCAACCACAACCCUAAUACCUCCCCAAAUCUAUCGUUCCCAAAGUCAUCGGAGACCUGUAUCCACCUCUCAUGGCUUCUGCGUGUUCGAUUCUUUUGGUCUUAAGGCUAGAUCUCGAAAGAGCUUGGUCCAGGCCUUGUUCGAUUACAGUUCAUGACUAUUUUCUAGUCAUCUCUGGCCUUUUCUCCGGCCAACCAUGGCUAUUCGAGUCAGACUCUUGACUCUCCUGCUUAGAUCGUUAGUUUUCAAAGCCUUUCUCACCACUUAGGGUUCUUAUGAAACCUUAGCCUUUAAGGUUCUUUCAAUUUCUUUUUAGAUCUGCUUCAGAUCUAUGUUUGCUUUGAACUUCUAAGUAUUUUUCUCAAAUUUUCUUUUAAAAAUUCUUCUUUCAAAACCCCUUAUCUUUUCGAUUAGGGUUUCUGUUAAGUUAUUUCAAAAACGUUUCUCUGAUUUUUUGACAUGUUUGGCUAUGUUUUCUUAUAUUGUUCUUCUACCUGAGUUUGCAUGUUAAAACCCCUAAUUUCUUUUAACUAUAUUAAAUAAAUUUUUGUUUGCCUGAGUUUUGUCCGAUCUGUUUGUUAUUCCCUUUUAAAACUCUUUUAUUGUUAAAAAGCCUAUGGUUUUGUGUCUGAGAAUAUUGUAUGGUUUCUUCGCAUGUUUUUGAUAUUGUGAGACCUUCGCAUGUUUCUGAUAUUGUGUGGUUUCUUCACUACUUGACCUAUUGGACUGACAUGCUUCGAGUGUUGCUAUCUACUGAAUCUUUGUGUUACCGUUGUGUGCUCUUUCCAACAGGCCUAACCUUAUAAUAUUUAUGCACCUUAUUUAUACAUCGAGUCUCCUUCUCUGACUAAUUUUUCAAACUCGUGACUGAGUAUAAACUUUCCCUUUGUGAAAUACUGAUUUCACUCGCCUAUUAUGGUUAAUUGAUUUCUUUUCUUGUUUUGCCUUAAUGAAUCCUUUCCAAAAUUAGAGUAUCUAUGUACUUAGACUCGACUUUCUUACUUGUUAUUUUACUACUCCUUCGAUGGCAACUGUCAACCUACUUUUUAAUUGAUUACUUUCCUUAUUUUGUACCUGUCACUGCCCGUUAAGCAAGUGACCCCUUAAUUAAGGGCAAUCACUUGUAUAAUUAAUUCUGAAUCAUGAUUGUUUCCAUGUUUGUAGCUUAUCAUCUCUUUCUUACUCAAUUUCAAAAACUAUAUAUACCUGGUACUUCUUCUCUUUGAAAAGGCACGAACACAAGGCAUAAACACUUGAGUACAACACACAUUCCACUAAAUCUCUCUCUUUUUUCUCUGUAACUACUAUAUUGAUGCCUUACCUAGCCGGCUGAAAGCCAAGGCUAGGCUGUGGGAAACUUGAUUAUUUUCUGCAUUUUGUAUUUCGUACUGGUAUGUUCAAUUAAGUUUUGUGCACCAACAAUAACAUGCUUACUUAAUGUUUCUUGCAUUCGUGUCUGCCUAUUGCUUGCAUUUAACCAAGUACCAUUCUUUAGCAUACCGUAAUUUCCCUAUCAUGAAUCAACGUAUUAUGAAUCCCAAAUCCCUACCCCCAUUGUGUUUAAUACUUGUGGUUGGUUUGGGUCAUGAUAGCAUUGAACAUUGCUGAGCAUGACCCAAACUUAAUCCUCCUAGGAUCAUAACCUCCAUGUUUCCCUUAUAUAUUGUGUGUUCUGGUUGAUUUACAAGCAUGACAGCACCCCUUAUUGUUGUGCAUGGCUAGAAUUAACCCAUGCCUAAGUAUAAAGGCUCCUUGCAAUGGAUUCUCAAUCCCCUACCCUAUUGUGUGAAGUGUUAAUGGUUCUAUCCCAUCUCUAUCUCCCUCUCCUUUAUUCCCUCAUCUCUUAAAACUAUGUUUCUACACUUGCACUAUCUUCUUAGAUUUAUGUUCUUCUCCCCCCCCCCCAAGUGAGCCUUGCCUUCAGACCCAUGAGCUCCCUCUGAACUUGCACACAUGAGGCUGGCAUUUCCAUAUUGCACUUGACCCUAUUGUGGUUAUGAAACUUGAGUGUGAGUACUACCCGGGGUCUAUUGAAGACCUUGUGGAACUCUGACACACUCAAGUCUGAGAAAGGCUUUGGAUCAAUGGUAUUUUGAGUUGGUUUAUCUCAUAACUCAGAGAGGAAGUCAAGAACCAGGCUUCCUCUGGUUGUAACUUUUCUUUGUACUUUUUCUGAUGUAAUUUUUAUUCCUAGUUUGUAAUAAUUUAUUACGAACAUUUGGGGAUGGUUAGAGAAAAGGGUUGGGAAAUUAUGCAUAUUCAAGGGUAGAAAACGUGCCUAUAGGACUGCGUUCUCUACUUGUUCAUUACAUUUCGAAACCAUGCCUAUAUGACUACUUUUAACACUGUAUAUUCACAUUGCAUUUAGAAACCAUGUCAAUAGGAUUUACUUGUUCAACUUCAUAUCUAGAUAACCAAUAGGGAUUAUCUAAAAUUUUGCACAUUUAUCACCGUUUAGAUAUCAUGUUUUUAGGGCCUAAUUUGUUAUAACCCAGUAGCAUGUUGCAAUCAGUAACAUAUAGAAAUCAUGCCUAUAGGGGUUCUUAAGUAAAAUUCUAUUCUGCUUAGAUGCAAUGCUAAGUAUCAUGUCUAUCAGGGUCUAAAAUCAGUAACGCAUAGAAAUCAUGCCUGUAGGGAUUCUUAAAUAAAUCCGAGUCAUUCCAUUCACAUUCAAUGUAAGAUAUCAUGCCUAUGUGGAUUAAAAUUAGCAAUAGUAGAUACUAUCACCUGCAGAAUGUGGAACUAAUCUAAUUUAAAUUCGUCCCUUCUGAACCUUUUAAUGACCUAAUUCUUUUACUUAACAAGGUUUAGAAAGCAUGUCUAUAGGAUUUCAAAAAAUUCGUUCUGAGUUAUUAUUGUUUUGCCACAUUCUAAAUUGAGUAGAUAUCAUGCCCAUAGGACUCCGUCUAAAUACAUAGGCAAGCCAUAGAAUAAUAAAUGUAAAACUAAAUCAGUUUUUGUUAAUUGCUACAACCAACAGGCAGGCCUGAUUCGCACUUCUCAUCUGAGUUAUAUAAUAAACUAAUCUGCCUCAAUAAUUAAUGACAUGGCUAGAAUGCGGGUUUUUGAGGACAUGGCCCUUGAUAGAAAAGUCUGGAGGUCUAGUAUCAGGGUUGUAGGAUAAGGGCCCCUAGAGUUUUUCGUACUCCUCACUCGGGGUUGGGUGAGGCUUAGCAGGG